CAGUCGCCACGGGAAUACGUAGGGCGCAAGCGUUAUCCGGAAUUAUUGGGCGUAAAGAGCUCGUAGGCGGUUUGUCGCGUCUGCCGUGAAAGUCCGGGGCUCAACCCCGGAUCUGCGGUGGGUACGGGCAGACUAGAGUGAUGUAGGGGAGACUGGAAUUCCUGGUGUAGCGGUGAAAUGCGCAGGUAUCAGGAGGAACACCGAUGGCGAAGGCAGGUCUCUGGGCAUUAACUGACGCUGAGGAGCGAAAGCAUGGGGAGCGAACAGGAUUAGAUACCCCGGUAGUCCCUGUCUCUUAUAC
This 301-nucleotide ribosomal RNA is filed under the name uncultured bacterium. Its description in RNAcentral is "partial 16S ribosomal RNA". It matches the Rfam family "Bacterial small subunit ribosomal RNA", at positions 509 to 807 of the family's 1533-position model. The record is from RNAcentral.